RNAcentral lists this long non-coding RNA (13556 nucleotides) under Arabidopsis lyrata. Its description in RNAcentral is "long non-coding RNA (ALYR_LNC000188)". The record is from RNAcentral. Lineage: Eukaryota; Viridiplantae; Streptophyta; Magnoliopsida; Brassicales; Brassicaceae.
AUUAUAUUCCAAAGGAUUCAAGCUCAGAGAAUUACAAAGCCAAAAGCAAGAUGCAAGAUAAUCAAUAAUAAAAACCCUAAAAAUUAUUUAUAAUGUCUCCAAAAACGUGUAGGGACUAAAGUUGGAAAGAAGGAAGUCUUCUGGGUUAAUUCUUCGGGCUUUAAAACUCUUAAACCAUCGAGACUUUUGCUGGGCUGCGUGUGGUGUCGAUCGACACCAGGGGUGUCGGUCGACACUCAUGCCUUGGUCUGAUUCCGAUUUCGUUCCUUCAUGUGUCGGUCGACACCAGAAUGGUUCCUUAUCUCCAAAAUUGUCCCGAACGUGUAAAAACCUGAAAAGACUUAAAAAGACACUAGAAACAACAAAAAGACUCUAAAACUGACGCAUAUAUCAUGGCUUAAAUCGGUAAAAUCUGUGAUAUGUCAACUCCCUCAGACUUAGCUUUUGCUUGCCCUCAAGCAAAAUACACAAACUGAACCCGUGGAAGAAGUUUGAAAACAUCAAAACUCCCAAUUUCUCCAGCCUAUUACCUUGAUUAUUCAAACCAAAUCCAAAUGCCUAGCAGAUUGCAUCAAAUCCUAAUCACCAUGUAAUUCUUCGCAAGCAUUCUCAAUAUUCCAAAUUCCAAACCAAAUUCCCCAACCAUAUCCUAUAGCCCUCAUUGCAUAAAUCUCAUCAAUAAAAUCAGUACUCAAAAACCUUAUAGACUCAUUUCCGUACUAUACCAUGGUAAAUCAACCAUUUCAACAUAUUGCAGUACUCUAUCUCUCCCCACACUUAUUCUUUUUCGAACUUUUUUUAUUUUAAACUUCAAAGGUGUAGGCAAAUAAUGGUAUCAUCGUAAAUUUUCCUAACCUCGCUUCCAAUCUUCGUGUGAUCAUCCUUCUUGAAGUAAAAUAAUGAGUUUACUAAAAAAAUUCCUAUCUCUUUACUUCAAAAGAAAAUCAUCACAAUCUUUGUUUUUUAUGUAUAAGGUAGAGGAAUACCAUCUUUUUCCACAUAGGUCUCAUUUAUCAGGUAUGAACGAGGAGUCAAGUUCUGAGAAUACUAACCGGAUUGAGGAGGUGAAGAUCAUGAACUUUGCUCAGGCUUUAGCGGAUUGUGUUGGAAAUUAACGUGGAUGUCUUCUGGUCUAUAGAUUAACUCUCUUGAUUUUCCAUUAAUCAUAUUGAAUUGAAUCUGCAGCAUUAAACUAACCAGGCAAUUAUCUAGAGAAAAAUAUCAUAUUUUCUAACAGAUCAUAAUCUCAAUAAAACGACUCAAAAGAUCAUAAUCUCAAUAAAACGACUCAAAAGAAAAAGAAAAAUAAGAAUAAGACUCAAAAAGAAAAAUGAUAUAUCACGGAUUUUACCGAUUUUAACCGUGAUAUAUGUAUUGUUUUUAGAGUCUUUUUGUUGUUUCUAGUAUCUUUUUGAAUCUUUUCAGGUUUUUACACGUUCGGGACAAAAGUGGAGAAAAGGAAUCAUUAUGGAGCUAAACCGAGGAUUUGGAGCUGAGGAGACGAAUCCGGUUCGAACCAAGGCAUGAGUGUCGACCGACACCCUUGGUGUCGCUCGACACCAAACACUGCCCAGCAAGAAGUCUCGACGGUUUAGAGUUUUAAAGCCCGCAGAAUUUACCCAGAAGACUUUCUUAUUUGCAAUUUUAGUCUCUGCACGUUUUUGAGACAUUAUAAAUAGUUUUUAGGGUUUAUUUAUUUCAUUAUCUGGUCUUUGGCUUUUGUAAUUCUCUGAGCUUGAACCCUUUGGAAGAUAAUUGGAGAGAGCUACUUUCAGAGAUUUCAAUACNNNNNNNNNNNNNNNNNNNNNNNNNNNNNNNNNNNNNNNNNNNNNNNNNNNNNNNNNNNNNNNNNNNNNNNNNNNNNNNNNNNNNNNNNNNNNNNNNNNNNNNNNNNNNNNNNNNNNNNNNNNNNNNNNNNNNNNNNNNNNNNNNNNNNNNNNNNNNNNNNNNNNNNNNNNNNNNNNNNNNNNNNNNNNNNNNNNNNNNNNNNNNNNNNNNNNNNNNNNNNNNNNNNNNNNNNNNNNNNNNNNNNNNNNNNNNNNNNNNNNNNNNNNNNNNNNNNNNNNNNNNNNNNNNNNNNNNNNNNNNNNNNNNNNNNNNNGAUGUUCUUCAUUUAGGUUGUUCUUAAUGCUAGUUCUAGAGUAGCUAACUAGAACUUGAUUAUAGGAUAAUAGGUAUUUGAUCCAAGAGGGCACCUGUUACUGGAACUACCUUAGAUGAGCCUGGUUUAUAGGUGUGUAAUAAGAAUCGGCCUAUCUACUAAGGUGAACAUAUCAAACCUGAAUUUAAUGCUAGUUUAGAUCUAGGAAUUCGCAUCGAGAGGUGGAAUUACUGAUAUUAGACUUGUUAGUUAGCGCAUCGAGAGGUGGUUAGCUAGUCAUUAGUGAUUUGAGUUCUAGAACGGUUCAUUAAAUAAUCCUAAUUAAUUUGCUAGAUUUACUAUUAGUUUAUUUCCUGAGAAUUUCCCUAAACCUUACACUUUAAUCUAUUGAUCUUUUCACCUGAAAUCAUUGCUUGCUCUUGUUUUAUUUUAAUUCUUAUUAUUUUAUUUAGCCUAAUUUCGAAACUUAUAACUUAUUGUGUGAACAAAAGAACUUUGUGGAAUUCGACCCUUAAGUGCUGCAAUUGAUCUCUUAUUUGAGAGAGUAGGCUUUAGGAUUCAAUUUGACCUGUAUCAAAAAACAUAAUUAGUAAUUGCCUCCCCCAGAUUUAAACGACACUGUCUCCAGUGGCAUUCAAACUCGUAGUUAGUGAAAAAUAAGAAAUAAUUAUAAAAAUAAAGUAAUAUAAAAGAAAAACGAAAAACAUACGAGUGGGUUGCCUCCCACUAAACGCUUAUUUUCAGUCAUUAGCUUGACUAUGUCGGGAUCCAGGAGCUAGGACGAGAGAAGGGGUGGAAGACUUCUCAGAAGAUCGACGCCUUGUCAUCCAUUGUAGAGUGUAAGCGUUGGAGGCGUGCUGCAGCGUCCUUUGUUCUUUUUCCUACAUCAAAAAUAGAAGAAACAAGCACUCGAGAAUCUCGUUACUCGUUUACCGGGUGAAGCCUUCUUCGAAGAUAUGGAAGUAUGAAUUGAAGAAGUGAAAGGAUAAGGAGGGGAUGAGCACUACCUUUGCUGAUGAAGGCGUAGAAAGCGGGGGCGAGGUGCUGUGUAUGGUUCGGGAACAACUCCCGAACACUUGAUGUUGUCUGCAGUCCCACGAGCAAUGUUUCCAGAAAUCCUCUUCUCUGCUCGUCGUUGGUGUCGAUCGACACUCGUCUGUCUGAACGACAAUGAUUUGCAGACUGAGCAGUUUUAGGCAUUGUUGGUGUAGUAGAAUCUAAUUCCUUUGCAGAUUCCCGUAUACAUUUAACAGAGAAGGACUUACCACUGAGAGUUGGAGGUGUUUUUGAGCCAUCCAUGUCGAAAUUCAUCAUCACAUCACACACAUCCAACGAAAUAUGUCCCUUCUUCACAUCAAUCUUCGCACCAGCUGUUGCUAAGAAAUCUCUACCCAAAAUAAGAGGAUCCUUGGGUUCUUCAUCGUAGUCCAGCACCACGAAAUCAGCAGGUAUGAAGCAUUCACCAAUCUUCACUAAAACAUCUUCCAAGAUUCCUUCGGGAAUUCGUUAGAACGAUCCGCGAGAAGCAAAGUGAUCCGUGUUGGUCUAUAAGCAGUCAUACCGAGGUGCACAACAACUGAAUGUGGCAUCAGAUUGAUCCUGGAUCCAAAAUCACAGAGCGAUUGAGGGAACCGGCCUGUGGAAAUAGAGCAACCAAGAACAAAGCUUCCUGAAUCACGUAACUUUUCAGGCAUCCUACUAUGGAUUAUUGAGCUAACGUGUUCAGACACAACCACCUUCUUCUUCUUCUCCUUCUUGGCCUCUUGCAGCAUAAUUUGACUGAUGUCAUUGGUGAGCAACGCAGCUUCUGCAGCACAUAUUCCAUUGUUGACCAAUCUCUUGACAUACCGCUCAAGUGAUGGAGAAGAUGUCUCAGGAUUGACCUUAGGAAUUGUAAUCAAUAUCUUCCCUAUGAUAGCCUUGCAUCGCUCAUCUUGAAUCACCUGCUUAGAGCGACGCUUCUUAGGAAAAGGGACUGGAGGCGUGUAGACAGGUUUCGCAGACGGAAAAACAGUUGCAUAAGGACAUGUGCGGACCCAGUGUCAAUCGAGACUAGGUGAGUGUCGGUCAACACUCUGAGACGGUGUCUACCCCUCUAUAUCGUGCUCGACAUCCCUCAUAACGAUCCACUCGUCAUCACAUUAGCGAUAGGAGACCAUGACAUUUACCGAGUAUUAGUCGACACCGGCAGCACGAUCGACGUGAUCUUUCGCGAAACGCUGACAAAUGAACAUCGACAUGUCACAGGUAACUCCGACCCCGUGGCCAGUCCUCGGCUGAAGAUCUACCUGGAGUAAGCAUCGACGUAAUCUGCCACGAGCUGAAUGUUGACCCAUCUUUCAAGCCCAUCAAACAGAAGCGAAGAAAAUUGGGUCGGGAUCGCGCAGAUGCCGUGAAUGCCGAAGUAGAAAAGCUCCUGAAGAUCGGCUCGAUCUCCGAAGCAAGAUAUCCAGACUAGUUAGCGAAUCUUGUCGUGGUAAAAAAGAAGAACGGCAAGUGGAGAGUCUGCGUCGACUUCACCGACCUGAACAAAGCUUGCCCUAAAGACAGUUUCCCGCUCCCACAUAUCGAUCGCUUAGUGGAAGCAACUACGGGAAAUAAGUUGCUCUCGUUCAUGGAUGCUUUCGCAGGAUACAAUCAGAUUCUCAUGCACCCUGACGAUCGCGAGAAGACAGCAUUUAUCACAGACCGAGGUAUCUACUGCUACAAAGUCAUGCCCUUCGGACUCAAGAACGCUGGCGCAACGUAUCAACGGCUCGUCAACAGGAUGUUCUUCGAGCAGCUCGAGAAAACGAUGGAAGUUUAUAUCGACGACAUGCUAGUCAAAUCCUUCGAAGAAAACGACCACAUAGCUCAUCUACGCGACUGUUUUUGCCAGCUUAAUAAACACAACAUGAAGCUCAACCCGGCAAAAUGUCGUUUUGAAGUAAAAUCAGGGGAAUUCCUUGGAUAUCUCGUAACUCACCAAGGCAUCGAGGCGAAUCCAAAGCAAAUCGAUGCUUUACUAAACAUGCCCUUGCCGCAGAACAAGCGAGAAGUUCAACGCCUCACCGGGAGAGUUGCAGCCCUGAACCGAUUCAUCUCCCGUUUAACCGAUAAAUGCCUGCCUUUCUACGAUACUCUGCGUGGAAACAAGAAGUUCGAAUGGACCGAUCGCUGCGAAGAAACUUUCCAGGAACUAAAGAAGUAUCUGGCUAAUCCACCGGUGUUAGCAAAACCAGUCCCAGGCGAACCUUUGUUCCUGUACAUCACCGUCUCAGACACAGCAGUAAGUGGGGUCAUAGUCAGAGAAGACAGAGGAGAACAGAGGCCAAUAUUCUAUGUUUCGCAAACCUUCACCGACGCAGAAACACGCUACCUGCAAACUGAAAAGCUCGCUCUCGCCGUAGUGAUAUCAGCUCGGAAACUACGGCCGUAUUCCCAGUCUCACUCAAUCGUCGUCAUGGCACCCAUAUCACUCCGACCCAUCUUGCACAGUCCGAGCCAAUCAGGACGUCUGGCCAAAUGGGCAGUAGAACUCAGUGAGUAUGACAUUAGAUACAAAAACAAGACGUGCGCAAAAUCUCAAGUCCUGGCCGACUUUAUCAUCGAGCUGCCAUCAGAAAAUGCUCGAGAAGAUUUGCCCGACGCCGUCUGGACCCUCCAUGUCGACGGCUUGUCCUCAAAGCAAGGCUCAGGCGUCGGGAUUCGUUUAGCAUAUCCGGAGGGAGAAAUUCUUGAACAAUCUUUUCGGCUAAAUUUCGACGCAACUAACAAUGUGGCAGAGUACGAAGCGCUGAUAGCAGGGCUGAAGCUGGCUCGAGGACUUAAGAUCAACAAGCUACGAGCCUUCUGCGACUCCCAGCUCGUGGCCAAUCAAUUCAACGGAGAAUACGCGGCUCGAGAUGAACGAAUGGAGGCAUAUCUUGCCCUCACGCAAGACUUAGCAAAACAGUUCAGAGAAUUCGAGUUAACCAGAAUCCCACGAGGUGAGAACACGUCAGCCGACGCGUUGGCAGCCCUAGCAUCAACCUCCGAUCCAAAUCUGAAGAGAAUCGUACCAGUUGAGUUCAUCGAAAAGCCGAGUAUUGAAGACAAAAGCAAGGAUCAAAUACUAAUGGCUCGGAAGACAGAAGACUCGGAAGAAGGUAAUACCGAACCGCUGGAUCAACAAGCUACAGACUCAACCAAGCCCGAAUACGGAAGUGAUGCCAAAUGGAUCGGAGCCAUCCGAAGUUACAUAGCCGACGGAGAAGUACCUACCGAAAAAUGGGUAGCUCAGAAGCAUAAGGCAAAAGCGGCUCGGUAUACUCUGAUCGACGGAGAGCUCUUUAAGUGGCGGUUCUCAGGACCCCUACUAAUCUGUGUCAAAGGAAAGGAAGCUCGAAGAGUCAUGGAAGAAGUACACGGCGGAUCUUGUGGAAAUCAAUCUGGCGGGAGAGCCCUAGCUAUAAAGAUCAAACGACAUGGUUAUUUUUGGCCGACGAUGGUCAAAGACUGCGAGAAGUUCUCUCAACGGUGCGACAAAUGCCAGAGGCACGCACCAACCAUUCAUCAACCCGCCGAGCUACUCACUUCCAUCAUCUCGCCUUACCCCUUCAUGCGCUGGUCCAUAGAUAUUAUCGGACCUCUACACAACUCCAAGCAGAAGAAACUCGUCCUCGUACUAACAGACUACUUCUCCAAAUGGAUCGAGGCAGACUCCUAUGCCAGCAUCAAGGACGCACAGGUCGAGAACUUCGUCUGGAAGAACAUCAUAUGCCGCCACGGGAUACCUUACGAGAUCGUUACAGAAAACGGAUCCCAGUUCAUUUCGGCUCGAAUCAAAGGAUUCUGUGAGAAAUGGAGAAUUCGCCUCAGCAAGUCUACACCUCGGUAUCCUCAGGGAAACGGACAGGCGGAAGCAGCAAACAAGACGAUUCUCGACGGAAUAAAGAAGCGUCUUGACGCAAAGAAAGGCCGCUGGGCCGACGGGAGAAACACCUUUCGCCCUCGUCUACGGUACGGAGUGUGUGAUUCCCACCGAAGCCGAGAUCCCGGGAAUAAGAAGACGUUUGCUCCCCGAGCAGGAAAAUUCCAACACUCAGAUGAUGCUGGACGAACUGGACUUAAUUGACGAAAGAAGAGAUUCAGCUUUGGUCCGUAUGCAGAACUAUCAGAAUGCUACAGCUCGGUACUACAAUUCUCAAGUUAAGCAUCGCCGCUUCCACGAAGGAGAUCUCAUACUGCGCAAAGUUUUCGAGAAUACUGCCGAACAGAACGCAGGUAAGCUCGGCGCAAAUUGGGAAGGACCUUACACGAUCGCAAAGGUGAUCCGUCCCGGCGUCUACGAACUCAUCAACAUGAACGGCAAAACGGUACCUAGAUCCUGGAACGCUAUGCAUCUAAGGAAAUAUUAUCGCUAACGACCUAAGGUACGCAUGUACUUGAACUACGGGGUGGCUUGAUCCCUGAAAAGGGUACGUAGGCAGCUCGUCCUCGGACGAGUCCAGCUACCCCCCCCCCCCUAAUUAAAAAAAGGGGGGAGUGGGUCCGUAUACAUGUACUCCCACUGAACUUUUUGACAGAAUUCUCUCUUGAGUUUUACCCUUCGGGUUUUACAUUUUAUCCACCUCGAUAUCUAUCCCGAAAUUCAUCUCGGGAACCUUUACGGCCUUCUUAUCGACCCACAAAGCCGACAAUUCGGUCGGAGAUAUCUUGCCAUAAAGAAAUUGUCUUCAGAAAACCCAGUUGACUUCGACACUGGUACCCCAGUUCGCUUCUAAGCACUGGCAAUCGACUAUAUCAGCUCGGGUCACAACCGAUAAAGAUUAGUCCCACGUAACCGAAACCCAGUUACCUUAACACUGGUACGCUAUUCAUCAUCACGGUUCGCAAGUUAAAAUAAUUCUGAAAGUUAACUUCUACUGAACCGAAAGUCAUCUUUACCAAAACCCAAUUACAUUGACAUUGGUGCAUAAUUCGUUUUCUCGGCUCGGAAGUUAAAACGGCUCGGAAAAGAUUAACUUCUCGAUGAACAAGUCAUAUUUAUUAAACCCAGUUACUUAGCACUGGUAUCGAAUUUAGUUCGGAAAUAUUUCAAGAUAAACAAGGCAAUUCAAGUACUUAAAAAAAAAAGAACAUAUGUUCAGUGGAUAAAGCCGUCCAGGCGUGUCUUACAAAAAGGCAAAAGAGGAUAAAAAGACAUCUCGGGAUCAGAUCGAAUCUUGGUUAACCGAUGAGACUCGAGCUGUCUCGGUAUCUUGGUUCGAACCCGUCUGGUCAGUAACACCUAUUGCGGCCGCGGUGCCCUCGAUCGAUCGGUUCCCGAAGCUAUCGUCGACAGAGUCCGGGGAAACCGGAGGAAGCUUCAAGUCCUCUCGCAGCUCGGUCCCGAGAUAGACGUACUCAUCCUCGGCAUCCCCAUACUCAGCCGUCCAUUGAAGGACCUCUGCCUUCUCAUCCUCCACCUUUUUCCCUUCUUCCAGCUCGGCUAUCAGCUCGGCAUUGGCCCGCGCUUGCACCAAUUACAUAUAGCAUGCGGAUACCUUCCCGUACUAGUCCAUGUUCGCCUCGAUAGCCCUAACCUUCUCGGCAAACUCCCUCUUGGCUGCCCUCCGUUCUCUGACGAUCUCCUUCUCCCGGAGAGCCUUCUCUUCGGUAAAUAACUGAUGUAGGCGUGCAAUCUCGGCCUCGAGCUUUCUCUGAGUUCGCAGGCUAUCCUCCAAAGCUUUCAACCGCUCAACCUCGGCUCGAGAUAUCUCCGACCAACACCUCGGCUUCCUUUCUAGCCACAAUCGCCUCGAAAAUCCUAGCCUCAACCUCGGCUCGGGAUAUCUCCGACCUCUCACGAGCCAGCUCGGACUUCCGAGCUCCGGAAUCAUAGGCUCGAACCAUGGAAUUCAUCGAGUGGAAGGCCUGAAAUGGAAUGGAAAUCAUCAGCAAACAAAUAUGGAAACGAUAGUAAAACACGUCAGGAACGAAUCGAUACCUUCAGAAAUCCAGCAGUGGUUUCACGGUAGCUUUGAGCCUCCAGCAAGGCCUCGGGAGCGGACAGUGGUGGACCCAAACAAGAAGCGAUAAGAUUAGCAGAAGCUAUCUUAUCCUUGUAGAUGGGAGCCUCACUACGGCUCCUCUUCUCCUUCCUGCAUCCUCCCGAGCUAUCACCUCGGGGCCUCUUCCCUUUUGUCUUAGCCUUCGCCUCGGCACCCAGAGCUACGACCGCUAAAGCCCCCACUGCCUCGGGAACUUCUGUAUUCGGCCGAACGUUAUCGGAGGCCUCGGGUCUAGUCGAAGCUGCAGCAUCCCGAGCCUCCUCAAUCGCCUCGGUACCAUCGGCAACCUCUGGAUCGUUGUUAAUCUCAGGUGGAGUUGGCGGUCUGAAAGUCGCCUUUAAAACCCUUUUCUCCUCGGCCGCUUUUCUUUCGGCAGCUUUCUUCGCCCUCAAAGACUGUGCGGCUCCUUGCAUUUCGAUGAGGUGAUCUAGGCGAUGGUCAGAUGAUUCCGAAGAGGAUUGGCAAGGAGCUCCGUGCAGCAAACGCAAGGCUCUCUCAAUUCUAUCUCGGGAGAAGUGUUUCGUCCAAUCGCACUUCUGAGCUAUCAGUUCGACGUGGAGAUCUAGAAAGCCCUCGGGAACGUCUUCAAGAAAUGAUGGGUUCCGAUCUGCAUGAACAAGAAAAUGGUCAGUGAAAAGAUUAAAGCAAAACAAAACAGCAAAUACGGCUUCGGGUGUAGUACCAAUUUUUCUCCACUUUCCAACAACUUUCCCUAAGUAGUCCUCGUGGACACUAUACUCAUCCAAGGCUACGUAGAAGAAGUGGUCGGUAUACUUCUCAUCCUUGCUCGGGAAUCCACCGAUAACCCUCCUAUUUGGCCUCGGAGAUAUGUAAAACCUCUCAACGGGGCCUGGUAUGCGCCGGAUCUCUAGGAGAUUCCUUAAGUGGCUAAGGUCCACAAUAUUGACCGUCUCAAUACCUCGGACUAGAAUCCCCACUAGAUGCCGUAGGCCUCGGGUCGACCCCCUCGCUAAAAUCGAACCGGGCCUUAAGUUCCCGAAGGGAAUCUUCCGUACAUAAGGUCGAACCCGGAGGGUCGGGUUUCCUUACCUUUUUGACUCGCUUCUUCCUCUGCCGGCCCUUUGCAGUUUCAACUUUCGCUUGAAGCAACCUUGCUGCCUCGUCAGAAUCAUAGUGAACCUCCUCGGCUUUUACGGGAACCAAAGGCAGCUCGGGCGCACCUUGCCAGCGAGAGCCCCCGGCUUCGUCAACCGCUGGCGGAUGACUUUUCCUAACAAGUGCCUCCUUGGGUUCCUCCGGUAGGUCAAGCUCCCGAGCAAUAUCUGCCGCGGCAUCCUCCCGAGCCACGAAACGGCUCGGAUCUUCUUGACUAUGAGAAGAUUCAGCAUCGCUAUCCCGACGUAUGAUGUCCGCCUCGGGGUCACUCGAAGAACUCCAAACCAUCUUUCUCUUAUAGACAGAGAGAAGAUUGUCGCCUCGGGACGAAUCGCUGGAGUCAGAGAGAGACAUUUUCUGGCUCGGGCAACUAAAAUAGUUGAUCGGAAAAACAAAACUUGGCAGAUCGGAGAAAUCAACCUACAUCUAAUCACGGCGGCGCUACGACGGAAGUAAAACGGAAAAGUAGAAAAGGGAAGAAAUCAAGAUCAGAGAGAGAAGAGAACGAACCUUGAAAAUUUUCCUUUGCAGUUGCGAAAUGAGAGAACAAGUUGGAGACUUAAUAUUUAUAGGGAUCUAGGGCGUGUCGGGUACAUACGAGCCAAAUAAAACACAUUGUGUCCGCAUCUAAGGCGCGCGUCGGGCACGCGCGAAUUGAAUAGGAUACUUCACAUCCGCACAAAUAUCGGGAAUCAGCAAAGGACCUUUCCACUUCUCGAGAAGGAAUCCAAACCGUCACACGCCAAAAGAAGAUGAAACGACAAAGGAAUUCGAGUCGCCGAAAACUUUACAUCAAAAAAGGGACCGAACUGUCCAAAGUAAACGGCUCGGCCCAAUUGUCAUAAAGCUCGUCACACUUGGUUCUCUAAACUAACGAGCUGGGGGGCUAACUGUUGGGGUCGGAUUCCAUCCUUUGGCGCCGAGCCAGACUUAGAGCACCUCGGGGAACUUUUCAGAGAUCACCUCGGGGCGUCGCAUCAUCCACCUCGGGAAACACCCAAGGUCCACCUCGGGGUCUGACAGCAAGCUCUGGUACCCGAGCCGAUCCUCCUCGGAGACCCGAGCCGCUUUUCUUCGGAUGCCCGAGCUGUUUCCGUUCAUGUACCCGAGCCGGUCCUCUUCGGGUACCCGAGCCAUUUUUCCUCGGAUACCCGAGCCCUGUCAACAAGGGUACCCGAACCCGCUCGUCUCAAAGUCUCCUCGGUUCGGGAUCGCGUAUCACGUCAAUAUCCUCCAAGCCACCCGAGGCAAGGACUUUGUGAAAUAUUCACCCUCGAAGUACCAUUUCCAAGCAAAGCACCAUUUCCGAAAAAGAAGGAUCAUUUCCGAUAAACUCUGAAAUGAUAAGAGAGAAUCUUGGAGGAUCGACGCAAAUCAGGAAAACUUCCAAAAACCCCGAAGAAUAAGGAAAUUAUCCUAAUCCGCGAUAUUCUAGCCGACUUCAAGAUAAAUGGAAAUCUUCCGAGAAUAUCGCUGGAGAGGCGGUUUAUGAUCGAUAUAUAAAGAGACUCAAGGCUCUCAUAGAGGGCAAGCAAUAUCGCUCUAAAAUUUAAACUACACAAAGCUCUCAAAGCGCAAACAUUUUUUCUUUUACGAUCAAACUCUUGUACGAUCAAAGCUAUCUUUUUCUUAAUAAUACCGAGAACACCAUCUUUGGUUUCGAUCCGUUUUGUUGUUCUUUGAGAAUUCUCGCAAGUCGUAUCCCUAAAUUAAAACCCUAGACAAAUCUCGAUUGUGUUAGUUUCGACUUCCACAUUGUUUCUCCAGCAAGUGAGUAUGGGAAGAGCUUGUAAAGAAGAUAGUCAUCUGAAACUCCAUUAGCCUUGAUGCUGAGUACCAAUCCUCAAAGCGCUCGAUAUGGUCCAUUGGUUGUUCAUGAGAUAAGCCAUGGAAAGGAUGCUGUCCCACAAGAGUGAAGUAUGCAGGUUUCAGCUCGAAGUCGUUUCUCUGGAAUGGGGAGGUACGAUCGAUGAUCGAUUAGCAUAGAACAGGUCUGUCCUGUUGUAAUCCCCAAGAGUUAGCUGACGUUCCACCAUAGCAGGCGGUUGUUGUUAGCCUUGUUGGUCUGCUCUGUUUUGCACGUCUGCUGGGAGUGGGUGUCAAGCGAUACCCUGGUGGUGUCGGUCGACACCAAGGAUGUUCCCAGCUGCUGGGUUUUGUGGAGCAGCAACCUAGGCGUUAGGAUCAUCCACAAUCAGAUCCUCAGGCAUGAUAAUCCCGUGAUCGUCCAAUCUCUGUCCAGCUUUAUUGUAGGCUUGUCCAUCAUCAUCUCUCAAAACCCCUUGUUCAUAAGCUCUAAUUUCUCCACGAACCAUUGUUAUUGAUUUUUGAGCUUUGCGGUUGGUACGUUCUAACUUUGCCAAUUCAAGUGUAAACAAAUUGACAGGUGAAAAUUCAAUAGAUUAAAACGUUAGGUUUAGGGAAAUUCUCAGGAGAUAAACUAAUAGUAAAUCUAGAAAAUUAAUUAGAAUUAUUAUCGAACCGUUUUAGAACUCAAAACACUAAUGUAUAGCAAACCACCUCUCGAAUGUAUUGACUAACUAAUCAAAUAUCAAGUAGUUCCACCUCUCGAAUGUAAACUCGUAGAUUUAGGAUAGCAUUAGAAAGCAGGUUUGAUAUGUUCACAAAUAUUCCUAGACCACAUCUCGAAUAUAUCUAGUAAUCUCUCUGCCCACCGAAGAUAGUUCUAGUAAUAUAUGACCUCUCGAAUCUACCUAUUAUCCUAUGAUCAAAUUCUAGUUAUCUACUCUAGAACUAGCAUUAAGAACAACCUAAGGAGAAGAACUCUAAAGUUUAAUCCUAACAGAUAAUCGAUUUACUACUUCAUCUAAAUCCGUAAUGAGAAUCCCUAAACCUAACAGGAAAUUACUCAUACAUGAUUAAUGAAACAGAAAACAUGUUUGAAUAGAUUGCAAAACAAGAAAUCAAAAGAAGAAUAGAGUUUAGAAUAAAUCUUCUCUCUACAAGGAUUUUUAAAUCUCUGAAAAUAGCUCUCUCUAAUUAUAUUCCUAAGGGUUCAAGCUCAGAAAAUUACAAAGCUAAAAGCAAGAUGCAAGAUAAUCAAUAAUAAAAACCUUAAAAACUAUAUAUAAUGUCUCCAAAAACGUGCAGGGACUAAAGUUGGAAAUAGAAAAGUCUUUUGGGUUGAUUCUUCGGGCUUUAAAACUCUUAAACCGUCGAGACUUUUGUUGAUGCCUUGGUCUGAUACCGAUUUCAUUCCUUCAGCUCUUAAUCUCCGGUUUAGCUCCAUAAUGGUUCCUUAUCUCCAAAUUUGUUCCGAACGUGGAAAACCUGAAAAGACUCGAAAAGACACUAGAACAACAAAA